This 345-nucleotide unclassified non-coding RNA is filed under the name soil metagenome. RNAcentral's name for it is "partial contains 5.8S ribosomal RNA, internal transcribed spacer 2, and large subunit ribosomal RNA". The stretch from base 1 to 119 matches the Rfam family "5.8S ribosomal RNA", at positions 35 to 154 of the family's 154-position model. The record is from RNAcentral.
GAUGAAGAACGUAGCGAAAUGCGAUACGUAAUGUGAAUUGCAAACUCAGUGAAUCAUCGAGUCUUUGAACGCACAUUGCGCCCCCUGGUAUUCCGGGGGGCAUGCCUGUCCGAGCGUCAUUGCUGCCCUCAAGCACGGCUUGUGUGUUGGGCCCCGUCCUCCGAUCCCGGGGGACGGGCCCGAAAGGCAGCGGCGGCACCGCGUCCGGUCCUCGAGCGUAUGGGGCUUUGUCACCCGCUCUGUAGGCCCGGCCGGCGCUUGCCGAUCAACCCAAAUUUUUAUCCAGGUUGACCUCGGAUCAGGUAGGGAUACCCGCUGAACUUAAGCAUAUCAAUAAGCGGAGGA